Molecule: ribosomal RNA, 369 nt
Filed under: Triticum aestivum (bread wheat)
Lineage: Eukaryota; Viridiplantae; Streptophyta; Magnoliopsida; Poales; Poaceae
Description: partial small subunit ribosomal RNA
Source: RNAcentral
AUGCACGCGCCCAGGUGCCACCGGAGACUCGUCGGAUGUGACGCAGCUGCGAGUUCGUCGGCUGCUCGUGGGCAGGGGCGAGGCACUUCGAGCACGUCGGCACCCCCGUGGAAAGGGAGGCGCCGGCGGCGAGGUCCGCGUGGAUUGGGGUGGCAGAUGCUCGGCGGAUCGAUCGAUCCACUCGAUCUCUGGAGCUUGGCGGCCGGACUUGAAGCGGAUACGAAGGCAGGCGGCGUAGGGGCGACUAAGGACGCCCGGAUCCGAUUGAUGGAGGCGGUUGGCGGAGCUCCGGCCCCGGCGGGGGUCCUUGGAUGUGGCCAUGAGCAAGGAACCACCGGGAACAAGCUCCUCUGUACACGCCGGCCAUGA